RNAcentral lists this ribosomal RNA (451 nucleotides) under uncultured organism. Its description in RNAcentral is "partial 16S ribosomal RNA". It matches the Rfam family "Bacterial small subunit ribosomal RNA", at positions 330 to 797 of the family's 1533-position model. The record is from RNAcentral.
CGUACACUCCUGCGGGAGGCAGCAGUGGGGAAUAUUGGACAAUGGGCGCAAGCCUGAUCCAGCCAUGCCGCGUGAGUGAUGAAGGCCCUAGGGUUGUAAAGCUCUUUCACCGGUGAAGAUAAUGACGGUAACCGGAGAAGAAGCCCCGGCUAACUUCGUGCCAGCAGCCGCGGUAAUACGAAGGGGGCUAGCGUUGUUCGGAUUUACUGGGCGUAAAGCGCACGUAGGCGGACUAUUAAGUCAGGGGUGAAAUCCCGGGGCUCAACCCCGGAACUGCCUUUGAUACUGGUAGUCUUGAGUUCGAGAGAGGUGAGUGGAAUUCCGAGUGUAGAGGUGAAAUUCGUAGAUAUUCGGAGGAACACCAGUGGCGAAGGCGGCUCACUGGCUCGAUACUGACGCUGAGGUGCGAAAGCGUGGGGAGCAAACAGGAUUAGAUACCCCAGUAGUCCCA